RNAcentral lists this ribosomal RNA (805 nucleotides) under Lentilactobacillus buchneri. RNAcentral describes it as "bacterial SSU rRNA". It matches the Rfam family "Bacterial small subunit ribosomal RNA", at positions 24 to 785 of the family's 1533-position model. The record is from RNAcentral. Lineage: Bacteria; Bacillati; Bacillota; Bacilli; Lactobacillales; Lactobacillaceae.
UCAGGACGAACGCUGGCGGCGUGCCUAAUACAUGCAAGUCGAACGCGUCUCCGUUAAUGAUUUUAGGUGCUUGCACUUGAAAGAUUUAACAUUGAGACGAGUGGCGAACUGGUGAGUAACACGUGGGUAACCUGCCCUUGAAGUAGGGGAUAACACUUGGAAACAGGUGCUAAUACCGUAUAACAACCAAAACCACCUGGUUUUGGUUUAAAAGACGGCUUCGGCUGUCACUUUAGGAUGGACCCGCGGCGUAUUAGCUUGUUGGUAAGGUAACGGCUUACCAAGGCGAUGAUACGUAGCCGACCUGAGAGGGUAAUCGGCCACAUUGGGACUGAGACACGGCCCAAACUCCUACGGGAGGCAGCAGUAGGGAAUCUUCCACAAUGGACGAAAGUCUGAUGGAGCAACGCCGCGUGAGUGAUGAAGGGUUUCGGCUCGUAAAACUCUGUUGUUGGAGAAGAACAGGUGUCAGAGUAACUGUUGACAUCUUGACGGUAUCCAACCAGAAAGCCACGGCUAACUACGUGCCAGCAGCCGCGGUAAUACGUAGGUGGCAAGCGUUGUCCGGAUUUAUUGGGCGUAAAGCGAGCGCAGGCGGUUUUUUAGGUCUGAUGUGAAAGCCUUCGGCUUAACCGGAGAAGUGCAUCGGAAACCGGGAGACUUGAGUGCAGAAGAGGACAGUGGAACUCCAUGUGUAGCGGUGAAAUGCGUAGAUAUAUGGAAGAACACCAGUGGCGAAGGCGGCUGUCUGGUCUGUAACUGACGCUGAGGCUCGAAAGCAUGGGUAGCGAACAGGAUUAGAUAC